Molecule: ribosomal RNA, 169 nt
Filed under: Rubus longisepalus
Lineage: Eukaryota; Viridiplantae; Streptophyta; Magnoliopsida; Rosales; Rosaceae
Description: 5.8S ribosomal RNA
Rfam family: 5.8S ribosomal RNA
About the family: 5.8S ribosomal RNA (5.8S rRNA) is a component of the large subunit of the eukaryotic ribosome. It is transcribed by RNA polymerase I as part of the 45S precursor that also contains 18S and 28S rRNA. Functionally, it is thought that 5.8S rRNA may be involved in ribosome translocation.
Source: RNAcentral
UGGCUUAACGGCUUUCGGCAACGGGUAUCUCGGCUCUCGCAUCGGUGGAGGACGGAGCGGAAUGCGGUACUUGGGGGGGAUUGCAGGAUCCCGGGGACCAUCGGGGCUUUGGACGGAAGGUGCGGCCGGAGGCAAUAGGGCGAGGGCACAGCUGCCUGGGGGGCACACG